Molecule: ribosomal RNA, 454 nt
Filed under: uncultured bacterium
Lineage: Bacteria
Description: bacterial SSU rRNA
Rfam family: Bacterial small subunit ribosomal RNA
Source: RNAcentral
UACGGGAGGCAGCAGUGGGGAAUAUUGCACAAUGGGCGCAAGCCUGAUGCAGCCAUGCCGCGUGUAUGAAGAAGGCCUUCGGGUUGUAAAGUACUUUCAGUCGUGAGGAAGGUGUUAAGGUUAAUAACCUUAGCAAUUGACGUUAGCGACAGAAGAAGCACCGGCUAACUCCGUGCCAGCAGCCGCGGUAAUACGGAGGGUGCGAGCGUUAAUCGGAAUUACUGGGCGUAAAGGGCACGCAGGCGGUUAAUUAAGUUGGAUGUGAAAUCCCCGGGCUUAACCUGGGAAUGGCAUUCAAGACUGGUUAGUUAGAGUCUUGUAGAGGGGGUAGAAUUCCAUGUGUAGCGGUGAAAUGCGUAGAGAUGUGGAGGAAUACCGGUGGCGAAGGCGGCCCCCUGGACAAAGACUGACGCUCAUGUGCGAAAGCGUGGGGAGCAAACAGGGAUUAGAUACC